RNAcentral lists this ribosomal RNA (468 nucleotides) under uncultured bacterium. RNAcentral describes it as "partial 16S ribosomal RNA". It matches the Rfam family "Bacterial small subunit ribosomal RNA", at positions 28 to 507 of the family's 1533-position model. The record is from RNAcentral.
GACGAACGCUGGCGGCGUGCUUAACACAUGCAAGUCGAACGGAAAGGCCCUGCUUUUGUGGGGUGCUCGAGUGGCGAACGGGUGAGUAACACGUGAGUAACCUGCCCUUGACUUUGGGAUAACUUCAGGAAACUGGGGCUAAUACCGGAUAGGAGCUCCUGCUGCAUGGUGGGGGUUGGAAAGUUUCGGCGGUUGGGGAUGGACUCGCGGCUUAUCAGCUUGUUGGUGGGGUAGUGGCUUACCAAGGCUUUGACGGGUAGCCGGCCUGAGAGGGUGACCGGCCACAUUGGGACUGAGAUACGUCCCAGACUCCUACGGGAGGCAGCAGUGGGGAAUAUUGCACAAUGGGCGGAAGCCUGAUGCAGCAACGCCGCGUGCGGGAUGACGGCCUUCGGGUUGUAAACCGCUUUCGCCUGUGACGAAGCGUGAGUGACGGUAAUGGGUAAAGAAGCACCGGCUAACUAUGUG